AUGGUAGAGGCGCUGUUUAUGAAGAGUAGCUAUAAGGAGCCGGCAGGCAUUGAUAAGUAGUGAAAGGCAUAACAGCCGAAGGGAUAAACUAGGCAUAAGUUUAUUUCUGGGCAUGUAUAAAAUAUAUACAUGACUGUCACGUUAGUGGAGAGCUACAAG
Molecule: non-coding RNA, 159 nt
Filed under: uncultured Clostridium sp.
Lineage: Bacteria; Bacillati; Bacillota; Clostridia; Eubacteriales; Clostridiaceae
Description: Lysine riboswitch
Rfam family: Lysine riboswitch aptamer
About the family: Riboswitches are metabolite binding domains within certain messenger RNAs that serve as precision sensors for their corresponding targets. Allosteric rearrangement of mRNA structure is mediated by ligand binding, and this results in modulation of gene expression.
Source: RNAcentral